Molecule: ribosomal RNA, 573 nt
Filed under: uncultured fungus
Lineage: Eukaryota; Fungi
Description: eukaryotic LSU rRNA
Rfam family: 5.8S ribosomal RNA (bases 217-370)
Source: RNAcentral
CUUGGUCAUUUAGAGGAAGUAAAAGUCGUAACAAGGUCUCCGUAGGUGAACCUGCGGAGGGAUCAUUACCGAGCGAGGGCCCCCGGCCCGACCUCCAACCCUGUUAUCAAAACCACUGUUGCCUCGGGGGUGACCCGGGCCCGUCGGCUCGGGGCCCCCGACGGACAAUUUCAAACACUGCAUCUUUGCGUCGGAUUACAAAGUUUAAUGAAUUAAAACUUUCAACAACGGAUCUCUUGGUUCUGGCAUCGAUGAAGAACGCAGCGAAAUGCGAUAAGUAAUGUGAAUUGCAGAAUUCAGUGAAUCAUCGAGUUUUUGAACGCACACUGCGCCCCUUGGUAUUCCGGGGGGCAUGCCCGUUCGAGCGUCAUUUCACCAAUCAAGCCUGGCUUGGUAUUGGGCCACGGGGGCGACCCGGGCCUCAAAGUUCGCCGGCUGGAAAGCUCUGAUCUCAGCGUCGUGAUCAUCAAUUCGCUACGGAGAGGAGCGGUCUGCGCCGUGAAAUCUAUCACAGGUUGACCUCGGAUCGGGUAGGAAUACCCGCUGAACUUAAGCAUAUCAAUAAGCGGAGGA